AUUGAACGCUGGCGGCAUGCCUUACACAUGCAAGUCGAACGGUAACGCGGGGCAACCUGGCGACGAGUGGCGAACGGGUGAGUAAUGCAUCGGAACGUGCCCAGAAGUGGGGGAUAGCCCGGCGAAAGCCGGAUUAAUACCGCAUGAGACCUGAGGGUGAAAGCGGGGGAUCGCAAGACCUCGCGCCUUUGGAGCGGCCGAUGUUGGAUUAGCUUGUUGGUGGGGUAAAGGCCUGCCAAGGCGACGAUCUGUAGCGGGUCUGAGAGGACGACCAGCCACACUGGGACUGAGACACGGCCCAGACUCCUACGGGAGGCAGCAGUGGGGAAUUUUGGACAAUGGGCGCAAGCCUGAUCCAGCCAUGCCGCGUGCGGGAAGAAGGCCUUCGGGUUGUAAACCGCUUUUGUCAGGGAAGAAACGCUCUGGGCUAAUACCCUGGGGUAAUGACGGUACCUGAAGAAUAAGCACCGGCUAACUACGUG
RNAcentral lists this ribosomal RNA (482 nucleotides) under uncultured bacterium. Its description in RNAcentral is "partial 16S ribosomal RNA". It matches the Rfam family "Bacterial small subunit ribosomal RNA", at positions 29 to 507 of the family's 1533-position model. The record is from RNAcentral.